Molecule: ribosomal RNA, 440 nt
Filed under: uncultured bacterium
Lineage: Bacteria
Description: partial 16S ribosomal RNA
Rfam family: Bacterial small subunit ribosomal RNA
Source: RNAcentral
CCUACGGGUGGCAGCAGUGGGGAAUAUUGCACAAUGGGGGAAACCCUGAUGCAGCGACGCCGCGUGAGUGAAGAAGGAAUUCGUUAUGUAAAGCUCUAUCAGCAGGGAAGAAAAUGACGGUACCUGAGUCAGAAGCCACGGCUAACUACGUGACAGCAGCCGCGGUAAUACGUAGGGGGCAAGCGUUAUCCGGAUUUACUGGGUGUAAAGGGAGCGUAGACGGUAGUGCAAGUCUGGGGUGAAAGGCGGGGGCUCAACCCCCGGAUUGCACUGGAUACUGUACGGCUGGAGUGCAGGAGAGGUAAGUGGAAGUCCUGGUGUAGCGGUGAAAUGCGUAGAUAUUAGGAAGAACACCAGUGGCGAAGGCGGCUUACUGGACUGUAACUGACGUUGAGGCUCGAAAGCGUGGGGAGCAAACAGGAUUAGAUACCCCUGUAGUC